GUCGAGGUGUUGGUCUGUGCCCAGGUGCCCGUGCUGUGCUGAGGAAUGGCCGCAGUCCUUGUAAGAACCGGGUGCUGGGUGCUGGUGAGGUGCCAUCGCAUCUAGAUUCUGUGCAGCCCAACCACAGUGUCUGCCUCAGAAUCUCAGAUGGAGGAAUUUAGCAGCAUACAUGGGGAAUUUGCUUUCUAAACUGAAGAUCUGCAGGACCUGUUUCUCUUCUCACACUUCUGUAGGUCAAGUGCAACCUGUGGCAGAAUCCUUCACAAGGUGGGUUCCUGGCAUAUUGAAAACUCUCAAAGGAUGAAAUGGAUUGGUUUGGCAGAUCCAAAGAGGCUGAAUUAAUCCCCUGGUUAGAGCAUCUGAACUCUGCUGAUGUGGAACAGCACAGCCAGC
Melospiza melodia melodia is the source of this 393-nucleotide long non-coding RNA. RefSeq lists it as uncharacterized. The transcript has 3 exons. Lineage: Eukaryota; Metazoa; Chordata; Aves; Passeriformes; Passerellidae. The record is from RefSeq and is a predicted model, not a curated record.